GACGAACGCUGGCGGCGUGCUUAACACAUGCAAGUCGAACGAUGAACCCGGAGCUUGCUCCGGUGGAUUAGUGGCGAACGGGUGAGUAACACGUGGGCAACCUGCCCCUGACUUCGGGAUAACUCCUCGAAAGAGGUGCUAAUACCGGAUACGAAUCCUGCAGGCAUCUGCGGGAUUGGAAAGUUUUUCGGUCAGGGAUGGGCCCGCGGCCUAUCAGCUUGUUGGUGAGGUAGUGGCUCACCAAGGCGACGACGGGUAGCCGGACUGAGAGGGCGACCGGCCACACUGGGACUGAGACACGGCCCAGACUCCUACGGGAGGCAGCAGUGGGGAAUAUUGCGCAAUGGGCGAAAGCCUGACGCAGCAACGCCGCGUGAGGGAUGACGGCCUUCGGGUUGUAAACCUCUUUCAGCAGGGAAGAAGCGAAAGUGACGGUACCUGCAGAAGAAGCACCGGCUAACUACGUGCCAGCCGCCGCAGUAA
RNAcentral lists this ribosomal RNA (483 nucleotides) under uncultured bacterium. RNAcentral's name for it is "partial 16S ribosomal RNA". It matches the Rfam family "Bacterial small subunit ribosomal RNA", at positions 28 to 523 of the family's 1533-position model. The record is from RNAcentral.